RNAcentral lists this ribosomal RNA (376 nucleotides) under uncultured bacterium. RNAcentral describes it as "bacterial SSU rRNA". It matches the Rfam family "Bacterial small subunit ribosomal RNA", at positions 283 to 671 of the family's 1533-position model. The record is from RNAcentral.
GUAGCCGGCCUGAGAGGGCGACCGGCCACACUGGGACUGAGACACGGCCCAGACUCCUACGGGAGGCAGCAGUGGGGAAUAUUGCGCAAUGGGCGAAAGCCUGACGCAGCAACGCCGCGUGAGGGAUGACGGCCUUCGGGUUGUAAACCUCUUUCAGCAGGGAAGAAGCGAAAGUGACGGUACCUGCAGAAGAAGCACCGGCUAACUACGUGCCAGCAGCCGCGGUAAUACGUAGGGUGCAAGCGUUGUCCGGAUUUAUUGGGCGUAAAGAGCUCGUAGGCGGUUAGUCACGUCGGAUGUGAAAUCCCGGAGCUUAACUCCGGGCCUGCAUUCGAUACGGGCUGACUCGAGUAUUGUAGGGGAGACUGGAAUUCCU